ACCGACCUGCUGGCUUCUGCUUGCUCUUCCAUAUGACGGCAGAUGAUAGAAAUUGCGAAACACCUUAGGGCACAAACAUCGAUGGCGAGCCAGUUAGCCACGGUUAGCUAUGUUGCCUUUGCAUGGCCACGGACAGCAACUUGGUUCUACUGUUCUUCUGCAUUCAUGAAACAUUGCCUGG
Molecule: long non-coding RNA, 181 nt
Organism: Corythoichthys intestinalis (scribbled pipefish)
Lineage: Eukaryota; Metazoa; Chordata; Actinopteri; Syngnathiformes; Syngnathidae
Exons: 3
Source: RefSeq, a predicted model, not a curated record